This 72-nucleotide transfer RNA is filed under the name Phycisphaerales bacterium. RNAcentral describes it as "tRNA-Thr". It matches the Rfam family "tRNA". Rfam says of the family: Transfer RNA (tRNA) molecules are approximately 80 nucleotides in length. Their secondary structure includes four short double-helical elements and three loops (D, anti-codon, and T loops). The record is from RNAcentral. RNAcentral also lists the same sequence under 1 other name. Lineage: Bacteria; Pseudomonadati; Planctomycetota; Phycisphaerae; Phycisphaerales.
GCCGCUGUAGCUCAGUGGUAGAGCGCACCCUUGGUAAGGGUGAGGUCGAGAGUUCAACUCUCUCUAGCGGCU